CCUACGGGGGGCAGCAGUGGGGAAUAUUGCGCAAUGGGCGAAAGCCUGACGCAGCGACGCAGCGUGAGGGAUGAAGGUCUUCGGAUCGUAAACCUCUGUCAGCAGGGAAGAACGGUCACUGUGGUAAUCAGCAGUGAAUUGACGGUACCUGCAAAGGAAGCACCGGCUAACUCCGUGCCAGCAGCCGCGGUAAUACGGAGGGUGCGAGCGUUAAUCGGAAUUACUGGGCGUAAAGCGCUCGUAGGCGGUAUGUCAAGUCAAGGGUGAAAUCCCCGCGCUCAACGUGGGAACCGCCUUUGAAACUGGCAAACUGGAGUGUGUGAGAGGUUAGUGGAAUUCCAGGUGUAGGGGUGAAAUGCGUAGAUAUCUGGAGGAACAUCAGUGGCGAAGGCGGCUAUCUGGCACUCAACUGACGCUGAGGAGCGAAAGCGUGGGUAGCAAACAGGAUUAGAUACCCGUGUAGUC
Molecule: ribosomal RNA, 465 nt
Filed under: uncultured bacterium
Lineage: Bacteria
Description: partial 16S ribosomal RNA
Rfam family: Bacterial small subunit ribosomal RNA
Source: RNAcentral